UACGUAGGGUGCGAGCGUUAAUCGGAAUUACUGGGCGUAAAGCGUGCGCAGGCGGUUUUGCAAGCCGGAUGUGAAAUCCCCGGGCUUAACCUGGGAAUGGCAUUUGGGACUGCAAGGCUGGAGUGCGGCAGAGGAGACUGGAAUUCCUGGUGUAGCGGUGAAAUGCGCAGAUAUCAGGAGGAACACCGGUGGCGAAGGCGGGUCUCUGGGCCCGAUACUGACGCUGAGGAGCGAAAGCGUGGGGAGCGAACAGG
Molecule: ribosomal RNA, 254 nt
Filed under: uncultured bacterium
Lineage: Bacteria
Description: partial 16S ribosomal RNA
Rfam family: Bacterial small subunit ribosomal RNA
Source: RNAcentral